This is a long non-coding RNA of Saccostrea cuccullata (small rock oyster), 472 nucleotides long. RefSeq lists it as uncharacterized. Lineage: Eukaryota; Metazoa; Mollusca; Bivalvia; Ostreida; Ostreidae. The record is from RefSeq and is a predicted model, not a curated record. The transcript has 3 exons.
UAACAAUCUUUUUUAAAGAAAAAAAAAAUUAAAUCUAAAAAUAUUUACUGAUGCAAUGCAAUGCUUAACUGCAGCAUUACAAAAACGGGUAAAAACAAUGAGGACAGAAAUGUUUAUGACUUUGUGGAAAGCAAUAAAGGUGUAUAUCUAAAUGUCUCUUGAAGGUUGAAUAACUGACUGAAAUGCAAAGAGGAACAGAAAGCAUAAUUAAAUUACAAUUGAGAUAAUUCGAGGACAAAAAAUAUGCUGUAAACUUGAACUCGUUUACGAGAAAUACCCGAGACUUUUGCGACCUACUUAAACCCCCUAACAUUUCAUCGCUCCAAUUGUCGCCCAUUGUUUUCAACGAAAUAAAAGAUGAUGCGAAAAAUAGUUGGUUUGCAGUAUUUUGUACAUGCACUGCCAUUUUAGACUGAAAAAAAAACAGAUGAUAAAAAUCAUUGAUUCUAAAACUAAGCUCGAAUGCAAAACA